This 762-nucleotide ribosomal RNA is filed under the name Vibrio sp. a286. RNAcentral's name for it is "bacterial SSU rRNA". It matches the Rfam family "Bacterial small subunit ribosomal RNA", at positions 309 to 1064 of the family's 1533-position model. The record is from RNAcentral. Lineage: Bacteria; Pseudomonadati; Pseudomonadota; Gammaproteobacteria; Vibrionales; Vibrionaceae.
CACACUGGACUGAGACACGGUCCAGACUCCUACGGGAGGCAGCAGUGGGGAAUAUUGCACAAUGGGCGCAAGCCUGAUGCAGCCAUGCCGCGUGUAUGAAGAAGGCCUUCGGGUUGUAAAGUACUUUCAGCAGUGAGGAAGGUGAUGUAGUUAAUAACUGCAUCAUUUGACGUUAGCUGCAGAAGAAGCACCGGCUAACUCCGUGCCAGCAGCCGCGGUAAUACGGAGGGUGCGAGCGUUAAUCGGAAUUACUGGGCGUAAAGCGCAUGCAGGUGGAUGAUUAAGUCAGAUGUGAAAGCCCGGGGCUCAACCUCGGAAUUGCAUUUGAAACUGGUCAUCUAGAGUACUGUAGAGGGGGGUAGAAUUUCAGGUGUAGCGGUGAAAUGCGUAGAGAUCUGAAGGAAUACCGGUGGCGAAGGCGGCCCCCUGGACAGAUACUGACACUCAGAUGCGAAAGCGUGGGGAGCAAACAGGAUUAGAUACCCUGGUAGUCCACGCCGUAAACGAUGUCUACUUGGAGGUUGUGGCCUUGAGCCGUGGCUUUCGGAGCUAACGCGUUAAGUAGACCGCCUGGGGAGUACGGUCGCAAGAUUAAAACUCAAAUGAAUUGACGGGGGCCCGCACAAGCGGUGGAGCAUGUGGUUUAAUUCGAUGCAACGCGAAGAACCUUACCUACUCUUGACAUCCAGAGAACUUUCCAGAGAUGGAUUAGUGCCUUCGGGAACUCUGAGACAGGUGCUGCAUGGCUGUCGUCAGCUCGUG